RNAcentral lists this non-coding RNA (26 nucleotides) under Cricetulus griseus (Chinese hamster). Lineage: Eukaryota; Metazoa; Chordata; Mammalia; Rodentia; Cricetidae. The record is from RNAcentral.
GGUGAAGGAGGUAGUUCUGGAAAAAC